RNAcentral lists this ribosomal RNA (959 nucleotides) under Salmonella enterica. RNAcentral's name for it is "partial 23S ribosomal RNA". It matches the Rfam family "Bacterial large subunit ribosomal RNA", at positions 1273 to 2215 of the family's 2925-position model. RNAcentral also lists the same sequence under 2 other names. Lineage: Bacteria; Pseudomonadati; Pseudomonadota; Gammaproteobacteria; Enterobacterales; Enterobacteriaceae. The record is from RNAcentral.
CUGGAGGUAUCAGAAGUGCGAAUGCUGACAUAAGUAACGAUAAAGCGGGUGAAAAGCCCGCUCGCCGGAAGACCAAGGGUUCCUGUCCAACGUUAAUCGGGGCAGGGUGAGUCGACCCCUAAGGCGAGGCCGAAAGGCGUAGUCGAUGGGAAACGGGUUAAUAUUCCCGUACUUGGUGUUACUGCGAAGGGGGGACGGAGAAGGCUAUGUUGGCCGGGCGACGGUUGUCCCGGUUUAAGCGUGUAGGUGUGUGUUCCAGGUAAAUCCGGUUCACUUUAACACUGAGGCGUGAUGACGAGGCACUACGGUGCUGAAGCAACAAAUGCCCUGCUUCCAGGAAAAGCCUCUAAGCAUCAGGUAACAUCAAAUCGUACCCCAAACCGACACAGGUGGUCAGGUAGAGAAUACCAAGGCGCUUGAGAGAACUCGGGUGAAGGAACUAGGCAAAAUGGUGCCGUAACUUCGGGAGAAGGCACGCUGACACGUAGGUGAAGUGAUUUACUCAUGGAGCUGAAGUCAGUCGAAGAUACCAGCUGGCUGCAACUGUUUAUUAAAAACACAGCACUGUGCAAACACGAAAGUGGACGUAUACGGUGUGACGCCUGCCCGGUGCCGGAAGGUUAAUUGAUGGGGUCAGCGCAAGCGAAGCUCCUGAUCGAAGCCCCGGUAAACGGCGGCCGUAACUAUAACGGUCCUAAGGUAGCGAAAUUCCUUGUCGGGUAAGUUCCGACCUGCACGAAUGGCGUAAUGAUGGCCAGGCUGUCUCCACCCGAGACUCAGUGAAAUUGAACUCGCUGUGAAGAUGCAGUGUACCCGCGGCAAGACGGAAAGACCCCGUGAACCUUUACUAUAGCUUGACACUGAACAUUGAGCCUUGAUGUGUAGGAUAGGUGGGAGGCUUUGAAGCGUGGACGCCAGUCUGCGUGGAGCCGACCUUGAAAUACCACCCUUUAAUGUUU